AGCGGCAAAAGCUCAAAUUUGAAACCCUCGGGAUUGUAAUUUGAAGAUUUGGCAUUGGAGAAAGCUAACCCAAGUUGCUUGGAAUAGUACGUCAUAGAGGGUGACAACCCCGUCUGGCUAACCGUUCUCCAUGUAUUGCCUUAUCAAAGAGUCGAGUUGUUUGGGAAUGCAGCUCAAAGUGGGUGGUAAACUCCAUCUAAAGCUAAAUACUGGUGAGAGACCGAUAGCGAACAAGUACUGUGAAGGAAAGGUGAAAAGAACUUUGAAAAGAGAGUGAAAUAGUAUGUGAAAUUGUUGAUAGGGAAGGAAAUGAGUGGAGAGUGGCCGAGGUUUCAGCCGCCCCUCGUGGGCGGUGUACUGCCGACGCCGAGUCAUCGAUAGCGAGACGAGGGUUACAAAUGGGAGCGCCUUUCGGGCGUUCUCCCCUAACCCUCCACACUGCCACCGACGACAUAAUCCACCCAUUUCACCCGUCUUGAACCACG
This 485-nucleotide ribosomal RNA is filed under the name Yarrowia lipolytica. Its description in RNAcentral is "partial large subunit ribosomal RNA". It matches the Rfam family "Eukaryotic large subunit ribosomal RNA", at positions 97 to 663 of the family's 3401-position model. Lineage: Eukaryota; Fungi; Ascomycota; Dipodascomycetes; Dipodascales. The record is from RNAcentral.